GUUGCAUUAAGUAUUUUAAUAUUAUAUCGGUGUUUUGAAACGUUGAAUUAAGUGAAUUAAUAUUUAAUUUCGGUGAAAUGAAUAAUUGUAGGUAUGUGUUCUUAAUUAUGAGUUGUGAUUUUAUUUGGUUUGUUUUGAAUCUAGUGAAUUAGAUGUGACGUUUGACGUGCUGAAGCUGAAUUGUGGACUUAAGUUUGAUGUUUUGGCUGCGGACAUUACCAUAUUAGCGAUGAAUUUAGAUUAAGAAUUUGAAAUAAGCCAUCUUGUUUUAAGUCAAAUUGAAAUAUUUUGAAUCAAAUUGUUUUAAUUUUGUUAAAUUAUAUUGUUUAUUUGUUGCAGCCUUAUUUAUAGUUUAUAAUUUUAAGAUCAAGUUACUGAUAUUAUAGUUUUGAAUAAAUUAAAAUUUUCAGAAUUGAAUUGGUGUUUUAUUUGAUGUGGUUUGUUUACGAUCUCUUUUUUUGUUUUUGUUUUUAAUUUUAUGUUUUGAUGUGAUGAUUUUAUAUGAUUCUGACGGUUUUAAAUAUGAUUUAUAUUAGACUCGUUUGUUCCGUGGUUUUGUUUGAAGGUAAAAGGCAAAUUUUAGUAAUCGGUCGUUUAAACUGCCCAGACUUAGUGCGGAGCGUGACAACGCGUACCAAACCGUCUGACCCGCUGUGGGUUUGUUCUAUUCGCGCCAUAUUCCAAUGUGUUGGUGGAAGUCGUUCAUCCUUCAAGAGAACCAAAUCUCCUAUCUUCGGCUUUUCUUGUAUUUUUGUCCAUUUUGGGCGUUGUUGAAGCCGAGAUAAGUAUUCAGAAUUCCAUCGUCUCCAAAAUACUUCAGAUAAUGCCUGAACUCGUUUCCAGCGAUCUUUAUGUGUAAUGUUUGUUUCUGUUUCACCUUGUGGUACUGCAUGCAAAGAUUCUCCGACUAAGAAAUGUGCUGGAGUUAGUGCGUUCAAAUCAUCGAUGCUAUCGGUUAGUGGGCAUAGAGGUCUCGAAUUCAGACAAGCUUCUACUUGUGCUAGAAGCGUCGCGAGCUCCUCGAAGGUAAGCCUCUCAAUUCCAAUGACUCGUUUGAGAUGGUACUUGACAGACUUCACACCCGCUUCCCAUAGGCCACCGAAAUGGGGAGAAGCUGGGGGAAUGAAAUGCCAAUCUGUACCGCGAUUUGCCAAUAGUUCUGCUACCUGCUUCCAGUCGUGUUGUGCUUCUUUCAUCAUUUUUGCCAGUUCAUUAUUGGCACCGAUGAAAUUAGUUCCGCAGUCGCUAUAGAUCUGCUUACAAAUUCCUCUUCUGGCAGUGAACCGUUUGAAUGCUGCUAAAAAUGCUUGGGUGGUUAAGUCUGAUACUGCUUCGAGAUGAAUGGCUUUGGUUGCCAAACAGAUAAAUACUGCGAAAUAGCCUUUUAGUAUUUUUGCUCCACGGGCUUUCCAGGCUUUUAUCUCGAUUGGUCCCGCAUAGUCAACACCGGUGUGACUAAAUGGUCGCGAUAUGCGUACUCGAGCAGCAGGUAAGUUUCCCAUCAGUUGUUGCAUUUCAGAUGCCUUUUGCCGGUAGCAAGAAGGGCAUUUAUGCAACUGGUACUUGACGCUUCGCCGAAUCUGUCCUAUCCAAUAUCGUUGUCGGAUGUAAUUAAUCAUUUGCUGGAUUCCGCCGUGUAGAGUUUGCUUGUGAGCAUCUCUUACAACCAGACUCGUAAAAUGGUGGUUGCUUUGCAACAGUAUCGGAUGUUGGGCAUCGUAGGAAAGGAGGGAGUUUGCUAAACGUCCCCCGACUCGUAAGAUUCCGUCAGAAUCAAGAAAUGCGUUUAAUGAAAGUAAAUUCUUUGGAAUUUUGGCAUUUCCAAGAAUUUGUUGAAUCUCAUCUCCAAACAUCUCCUUCUGUGCUGCCUUGACCACUAUUUGAUGUGCUGCAUCUAAUUCUUUAGGAUUGAUUGGACCAGUGAUAGGACCAAGCUUAGGUCGACAUUUUAUUGUGAAACGACGACAGGUGGCGACGACUCUAAGUAAUUUGAGCAACCUGGAAGAGUCGUGAAUAGCCUGCAAGAUUUUAUCGCCAUGAGUGAUAUUGAUACUUAAAACAUUCACUUUACUUUUAUCCUUCUUUUCUUCUUCAGUUUCGUUGUCGAUGGGUUGAUGCGGAGCAUCGAAUUUCCAUUGUCGGGUUAAAAAUUCAGGUCCAUUCCACCACAUAUCCAAUGACUCCAGUUCAGCCGGAAAUACACCUCGAGACGCUAGAUCGGCUGGGUUAUGCAAUGUUGCAACAUGACCCCAGCUGUCGAUCUGUAUAAGCCGCUGAAUUUCGGAUACACGAUUGGAUACGAAUGUGGUCCAUUUUGCUGGUGACGCUUGUAUCCAUGCCAACGCUAUCAUCGAAUCAGUCCACGCGUAGAUAUCGACAUCGGGGAUGGCCAAGAUAUCCUUGGUGUAACUAAGUAGCUGCGACAGAAGAACAGCUCCACAGAGUUCCAGGCGAGGCAGCGUGAUGGUUCGCUGACUUGGUGCUACUUUUGUUUUUGAGAGAAGCAGGCUGGUAAGGAUUCGAUCGUCCGUGUCUAAGACCCGAAUGUAGACUACUGCACCGAAAGCUUUCAUGGAGGCAUCACAGAAUCCGUGAAGUUGGACAGCCUUAUUAGAUGGGCUUUUCGCGAUCCAUCUCGGAAUUCGCAGUCGUUCGAUGAGAGGAAGUUCGCGUUGAAAAGCUUCCCAUUCCGUCUUUAAGGGAGUAGGAAUUGGAUCGUCCCAAUCACAACCAUGCUCCCAGAGGCGUUGCAUCAUUAGUUUCGCUGUGAUGAUGCAGGGUGAUAUCCACCCGAGUGGGUCGAACAGCUUAGCGAUGGUGGACAACAUUGACCGCUUUGUGAUGUCUUCUGGUGAAACUUGCAGAUUUUGAAACGAAAAGUAGUCGUCAAGUGGAAACCACUUGAUGCCGAGUGUCUUGACAUGAUUUGAGGUGUUAAACGGGAGUUCAAAAUCGAGUUCUCGAUCCUCAGCAGCGAUGUCUUCCAGGAGAGCCUUGGAGUUACUCGUCCAUUUCCUCAGGUUGAAUCCCGCAGACGCUAAGAGCUGCUUGGCUUCAUGUUGUUUCCUCUUGGCUUCUUCGAUGGAAUCUGCUCCACUGAUCAGAUCAUCAACGUACAUGUCCUCACGGACAACCUUCGCCCCUUCGGGAAAAUUCUGACUUUCAUCGUCGGCUAGUUUCUUCAAAACCUUAAUCGCAAGAUAUGGUGCGCUCGCUGUACCAAACGUGACAGUGUUCAUUUUGAAGACUUUAAUCGGCGAAGAUUUCUGUUCCCUCCACAAAAUUAGCUGAAAGUAUCGGUCUGGGAAACUAACCAUAAUUUGACGGUACAUCUUUUCAAUGUCUGCCGUAAAAGUAACUCGAUGAGUACGCCAUCUGAGAACAAGAUCAAUGAUAUUGGUCUGCAAUUUUGGACCUACAAGAAGAUGCUCGUUUAGGGAUUUCCCAUCCGAAGCUUUAGAAGCUGCGUCAAACACCACUCUCAGCUUUGUUGUGGAACUCGCUUCCUUAAAAACUGCAUGGUGCGGAAGAAAAUAAUGGUAAGGGGUCGCCAAAACCGUGUCAUCUUCAUCUAUUUCUUCCAUGUGUUUGAGCUUGAUGUACUCAUUUAUGCACUUUGAAUAGUCCUCACAAAGUUUAGGAUUUGCAGCAAGUCUUUUCUCGAGAUGGAGAAAUCGUCGAGUAGCUCCUUGACGGCUGGAUCCCAUCGCUGGAAGGCCUUCUUUGAACGGUAAGCUGACUUGGUAACGCCCGUCUGGUAAACGUGUCGUAUUCCUCUCAAAAUGUUCUUCACAAGCAAUGUUGUCUAGGGUUUCAUGUGUCUGGAACGGCGUUUCUUCCAUCUCCCAAAACUUCUGUAGCUGGAUUCCGAGGUCAGUAACCUGCACGAAACUUCGAAUUUGCCGGGGAAGUUCCUCUGGAACUUUCCCUAACACGAUCCACCCUAAAUGCGUAUUUUGCGCUAUCGGUCCAUUGUUAUCCGGAGACCUUCUUAUUUCCGGUAGCAGUAUUUGGGCGCAAACAUCACUUCCAAACAAUAAAUCGAUAGGAGCGGGUUCGUAGAGAUGGGGAUCUGCUAACGUAAGACCCUUGAGGUGAUUCCAACUGUUGGGUACCACUCGUUGGGCCGGGAGAUGCCCAGUCAGCGACUUAAAAACCAAUGCCUGUGUGGCAGUUUCAAACGUCGAAUGGCGAGAAGCAAAAUGCACUUCGACUGUAUGCUGUGUUGUGCCGCUGCUGACCAACCCCAACCCCGAUACCUCAACAAUGGCACGUCGCCUUUCCAACUUCAGCAGACGAGCAGCAGCUUCUGUUAUGAAAGACGUUUCUGACCCUGUAUCAACCAGGGCACGUAGUAAACGAAUUCUUCCAUCCGUGGCUCGCGCUUUGACAACUGCUGUAGCUAAGAGCACCUGGUGUGUUUGGGCACGAUCACCGUGCGACGCGUGGUAGUUUUGAGUUUGUGGACGAACAGCUGGUUGGAACUCAGGCGCAUUCGGGUUCACUGAGGCCUGAAAUGUGUUAGAACUAGAACCGGCAACUCUCGGUUGAGACGGCAUACCUUGGCUUGAUGUUCCGACUUGGGUCUGAUGUUCAGAACCUGGUUGUUGAGGUUGAAAAGAGUUAUUAUGGUGCUGCAAAUGCAGGAGUGAGUGAUGUUUCUGUUGACAGAAAUAGCACCGACUCAAACUCUGGCAUUCCUGGAGAGAAUGCCCAUAUGUCAGACAAUUUUCACAAACAUGGAUUCCCCGGACUACUUCUCGGCGUUUGACACUGUCCAUUGCCAAAAAUUGCUGGCAUUUUCUAAGGGAGUGCUUGUUGUGGUUGCACAAUUUGCAAAGAACUUGGCUAGUUUGAAAGUGCUUUGGAAUUUUCUGAGGUUGAUGCUUUACAACAUGCUUUGUAUGUAAAACCUUUGAAGUCGAUGGUUGAAAGCGUGGCCUUGAAUUAACAGAUGACUCUUCUUUGCGCCUGGUGGGCGUAGCUAGCUCUUGUUGGCCCAUAACUUCAAGCGUACGGAAUCGUGUCUCUAAAAAUUCGGAAAACGCAUCAAAUUUCGGAAGCUUUUGUACAAGGAACCAUAUCAAGACCGUAUCCCACGAAGAAAUCGGAACCUCCAAAUUUUCAAGAGCGAGAAGACAUUCUCUAGUUGUAUACAAGAGCUCCUUGAGACCAGAUGCCGUUUCUCGCGUCAAUGAGGGUUGACCAAAAAGCGAUUGCAUUUGGAUGUGCACCAGAAUGCGUUUAUGAUUGUAGCGCUCUUCCAAAAGUUCCCAUGCCUUUUCAUAACUUGCAGACUCAACAGCAAUGUUUUGCAUAAAACGAUGUGCAUCACCUAUUAAACACGUUUGUAGGAAAUGCAAUUUGUCGAUGUCCUCCAGGGUCGCGUUUUUAUGGACGAGAGCUUGAAAUCUGUCGUGAAAAGCACGCCAGUUUGUGUAAGAUCCGUCGAAUUUGGGCAGAUCAAUCCUCGGGAGACGAAUCGCCGAAUGUGAGGACGAUGCAGAAGAAUGAGGGGGCGGAGCACCCAUUAGGACAUCACCUGCUAUAAGUGUUUUCGAUUUUUCCAUCGCCUCUACCAAUUCUGCCCUAUAUUCGAGCAUACCACCACCAAUGAUUGCCUCGUGAUAGGCUUUCGACGUAGCUAGAUCUUCUUCUAGCUUUGAAAGACGUCCCGAUGCAUAUGCUGGUGUUCUCCGCUCCUUCGGAGCCUUUUUGAAAUUAGUAAGGUCUUUGAUGACUUUUGUAAGUAACCCCUUUUGCAAUUCCCCAUACUUAUAUGAUUUUUCCAUUUCUUUAAAUUAUUUUUAAAUUACAGAGUAAUAUAAAAAAAAAAAACGAAAUCGGGACAGGUUUUACUAACAAGAAAAGCAACGACUUACUGCUUGUAUGCUGCGGCUACGGCUGCUGACUUUGUCGGUGAAUUGCUGCUGACGUCGUCGUCGUCGUUAAAGAUGCUGCUGGCGUCGUCGUUGAUGUUGCUGCAGGGGCUCCGAGUCAAUGAUGGAUCGUUUAAAUGAUAUAUUUUGUAUACUUUUCCUUUUUUUUUAUUUUAACUAGAUUUCUUGUUUUUUAAACUGCACACACGGCACUAUAUAUUAAGUUUUUUUUUGUGUAAAUGUAAUUUACUUAAUGUUUUAACUUUAAAUUUGCUUGCACUGAUUGUUAUUUAAAUUAAGAAAAACAAAACCUCAAAUACUGUUUGUAUGUUAAAUAAAAACUCGAAGGACCAAAUGUUCUCGACUAGAAACUUUAGCAAAGUUUUAGAAAUUAUGCCGGUUAAAAAUGUUCCAAAGAAAAGACGUUAUCUUGUUCAAACUUGA
Molecule: long non-coding RNA, 6323 nt
Organism: Eupeodes corollae
Lineage: Eukaryota; Metazoa; Arthropoda; Insecta; Diptera; Syrphidae
Exons: 3
Source: RefSeq, a predicted model, not a curated record